This 267-nucleotide ribosomal RNA is filed under the name uncultured bacterium. RNAcentral describes it as "partial 16S ribosomal RNA". It matches the Rfam family "Bacterial small subunit ribosomal RNA", at positions 89 to 354 of the family's 1533-position model. The record is from RNAcentral.
UGGCGACCGGCGCACGGGUGAGUAACGCGUAUCCAACCUGCCCUUUACUAUGGGACAGCCCGUCGAAAGGCGGAUUAAUACCGUAUGUUGUCAUGUUGAUGCAUAUUUUCAUGACCAAAGGCUUCGGCCGGUAAAGGAUGGGGAUGCGUCUGAUUAGCUUGCCGGCGGGGUAACGGCCCACCGGGGCGACGAUCAGCAGGGGUUCUGAGAGGAAGGUCCCCCACAUUGGAACUGAGACACGGUCCAAACUCCUACGGAAGGCAGCAG